This 497-nucleotide ribosomal RNA is filed under the name uncultured bacterium. Its description in RNAcentral is "partial 16S ribosomal RNA". It matches the Rfam family "Bacterial small subunit ribosomal RNA", at positions 28 to 507 of the family's 1533-position model. The record is from RNAcentral.
GAUGAACGCUGGCGGCGUGCCUAAUACAUGCAAGUCGAGCGAACAGACGAUGAUCUUGCUCCUCUGACGUUAGCGGCGGACGGGUGAGAAACACGUGGAUAACCUACUUAUCAGACUGGGAUAACUUCGGAAAACCGGAGCUAAUACCGGAUAAUCUAUUGAACCGCAGGGUUCAAUAGUAAAAGACGGUUUUGCUGUCACUUAUAGCUGGAUCCGCGCUGCAUUAGCUAGUUGGUAAGGUAACGGCUUACCAAGGCAACGAUGCGUAGCCGACCUGAUAGGGGGAUAGCCCAACUUGGAACUGGGUCGCCGACAAGAGUCCUAUGGGACGCAGCAGUAGGGAAUUUGAGGCAAUGGGCGAAAGCAUGACGCAGCGGCGGCAAGCGAGUGAUGGAGAUCUUCGGAUCGUAAAAAUGUGUUAUUAGGGAAGAACAACUGUCUAAGUAACUAUGGACGUCUUGACGGUAACUAGUAAAAAAGCCACGGCUAACUACGUG